RNAcentral lists this transfer RNA (40 nucleotides) under Clostridium sp. Maddingley MBC34-26. RNAcentral's name for it is "partial tRNA-Ser". The record is from RNAcentral. Lineage: Bacteria; Bacillati; Bacillota; Clostridia; Eubacteriales; Clostridiaceae.
GGAAAGAUGGUCGAGUUGGUUUAAGGCACCGGUCUUGAAA